AGGGAUUCUCUCACCUCACCCUUACCAGUAGCUGGGACUACAGGAUGACAUAGCACAAAGGCCCUUGACACAUGGGGGCCCCUGGACCUCAGACUUCUCAGCCUCCAAAAUGGAAACGACGGCCAUGUUUCUGGAAGCCUGUCCUCUCUGCCUGGCUACAUGGCUCCUUCCUCCCACUGUUGACCCCUGACAGAGGCUCAGGGUACAGCCCUUCCAGAUCAGCUUGAGAGGGGCUGAUGCGACUGACUUGAGAUUUCGCUCACAGCAUCCUGUAACUGGUUCAUGGGAUUCUGAGCUGUCAGCAUCUGGAUUAGCUUUUCACUCACACAUUCUGCAGUGUAAGGAAGGGGUCUUUUCAGUCAACCAACCAACCUACCAAUCAACUAACCAACUAACCAACCUACCAAACAACUAACCAACUAACCUACCAACCAACUAACCUACCAACCAACUAACCAACCACCCAAUCUACCAAACUAUCUACCAACCAACUCACUAACCAAUCAACCAACCAGUUAACCAACCAAACUACCAAC
Macaca mulatta (Rhesus monkey) is the source of this 536-nucleotide long non-coding RNA. RefSeq lists it as uncharacterized. The record is from RefSeq and is a predicted model, not a curated record. NCBI's taxonomy places the organism in Eukaryota, Metazoa, Chordata, Mammalia, Primates, Cercopithecidae.